AGCUUUGCGCAGUGGCGGCAAAAUGACGAAUUAGGAAUUUCGAAGGUGCCUUUAUCGGUGGUUGAAAAGUUUUCCCAAUUGUGUGCGACAAUGCUUGGAAUAUGGCUGUCGUACGCAAUUGUUGAUGGUUCCAAAUUGGAA
RNAcentral lists this small nuclear RNA (141 nucleotides) under Angiostrongylus costaricensis. RNAcentral's name for it is "U4 spliceosomal RNA". The record is from Rfam by way of RNAcentral. Lineage: Eukaryota; Metazoa; Nematoda; Chromadorea; Rhabditida; Metastrongylidae.